Peromyscus eremicus (cactus mouse) is the source of this 549-nucleotide long non-coding RNA. RefSeq lists it as uncharacterized. The transcript has 4 exons. The record is from RefSeq and is a predicted model, not a curated record. Lineage: Eukaryota; Metazoa; Chordata; Mammalia; Rodentia; Cricetidae.
GACCAUCGGACCAUGGGACAUGAAGCUCAGGCCCCCCACCCUGGAGUCGUGACCAGUGUACACAGCUGCCUGCCCUUUUCCCUUGUGUCCAUCCGGGAGCGGCUUUCUGCCAGCUUCUAUGUUGCCUGUCCUCGGUCCACUUGAAUCUCUUGAGAGAGAUGAGUCCUGUGUGUACCUAGGCCCUGCCACAGGGACCUGGACACCCUGCCUGUUGAGGCGAGGUUGUGGAUGUCCCGGGCCUUAGUGGUCUAUGCUUCGCAUGAUGUGGGGCAGCAUCCAUCUGAACGCUCAUCACUACCAAGGCCAAGGUUUUGGAAGGAAGCCCUUCUCCUCUCCCAUCUUAGUAUUAGACCAUCGGACAUUGGGACACGGGACUCAGGCCGCUGACUCUGCAUCCCUCACAAGUGCACACCACUGCCUGCCCUUUUGCCUUGUGUCCAUCCUGGAGCGGCCUUCUGCAAGAUUCUAUGUUACCUGUCCUCGGUCCACUUGGAAUCUCUUGAGAGAGCCGAGUCCUGUGUGUUCCUAGGCCCUGCCACAGAUAGGUGG